CUCGUGGGCGGUUCGUCGCGUCCGGUGUGAAAGUCCAUCGCUUAACGGUGGAUCUGCGCCGGGUACGGGCGGGCUGGAGUGCGGUAGGGGAGACUGGAAUUCCCGGUGUAACGGUGGAAUGUGUAGAUAUCGGGAAGAACACCAAUGGCGAAGGCAGGUCUCUGGGCCGUUACUGACGCUGAGGAGCGAAAGCGUGGGGAGCGAACA
Molecule: ribosomal RNA, 207 nt
Filed under: uncultured bacterium
Lineage: Bacteria
Description: partial 16S ribosomal RNA
Rfam family: Bacterial small subunit ribosomal RNA
Source: RNAcentral